GUUGCGGUGGCCGAGUGGUUAAGGCGUUCGACUAAAAUCCAAUAGGAUCUUCCCGCGCAGGUUCGAAUCCUGCCCGCAACG
Molecule: transfer RNA, 81 nt
Filed under: Nematostella vectensis (starlet sea anemone)
Lineage: Eukaryota; Metazoa; Cnidaria; Anthozoa; Actiniaria; Edwardsiidae
Rfam family: tRNA
About the family: Transfer RNA (tRNA) molecules are approximately 80 nucleotides in length. Their secondary structure includes four short double-helical elements and three loops (D, anti-codon, and T loops).
Source: Rfam by way of RNAcentral